GAUGAACGCUGGCGGCGUGCCUAAUACAUGCAAGUCGAGCGAACAGACCAGGAGCUUGCUCCUCUGACGUUAGCGGCGGACGGGCGAGUAACACGUGGAUAACCUACCUAUAAGACUGGGAUAACUUCGGGAAACCGGAGCUAAUACCGGAUAAUAUAUUGAACCGCAUGGUUCAAUAGUGAAAGACGGUUUUGCUGUCACUUAUAGAUGGAUCCGCGCCGCAUUAGCUAGUUGGUAAGGUAACGGCUUACCAAGGCAAGGAUGGGUAGCCGACCUGAGAGGGUGAGCGGCCACGCGGGAACGGAGACACGGUCCAGACUCCUGCGGGAGGCAGCAGUAGCGAAUUUUCCGCAAUGGGCGAAAGCCUGACGGAGCACCGCCGCGUGAGUGAUGAAGGUCUUCGGAUCGUAAAACUCUGUUAUUAGGGAAGAACAAAUGUGUAAGUAACUAUGCACGUCUUGACGGUACCUAAUCAGAAAGCCACGGCUAACUACGUG
This 497-nucleotide ribosomal RNA is filed under the name uncultured bacterium. RNAcentral describes it as "partial 16S ribosomal RNA". It matches the Rfam family "Bacterial small subunit ribosomal RNA", at positions 28 to 507 of the family's 1533-position model. The record is from RNAcentral.